Molecule: long non-coding RNA, 415 nt
Filed under: Oryza sativa (Asian cultivated rice)
Lineage: Eukaryota; Viridiplantae; Streptophyta; Magnoliopsida; Poales; Poaceae
Description: long non-coding RNA (OSAT_LNC001250)
Source: RNAcentral
UGAUGGGCUAGCAAAUUAAACCUGAGAGGAGGCCUCCUUGCUGAUUAAAAACACCAAGAACCAAAUCUUUGGAGAGUAGCAUCCGAAAAAAAAGACCAAGAACUCUACUAAUUGGAGACACUUUUAAUCCCAGUGAGCAGUGACAAGAUGCUAAAGCUGUUCAUGGAGUAGAAACGAGAUGGUAUGAUUCAGAGAGGCAAAUUAAGAAGGUAGAAGGAAGAAGAGAAGAAAUUCAGAGAGCAGAGCAAGGAAACAAAUAGAAUAGAGAGAGAGAGAGAGAGAGAGAGAGCUCAAAUUAGCUUUGAUAAAGACAGCUAAAAUUGCAUGGAAAAAUUAACACGAGGAGGAACUAGGAAGACGACGACGUCAUAUGGAUCAUGUGGUUGGAAUCCAUGAACAAGUGGGGGGCGAGAAG